This 464-nucleotide ribosomal RNA is filed under the name uncultured bacterium. RNAcentral describes it as "bacterial SSU rRNA". It matches the Rfam family "Bacterial small subunit ribosomal RNA", at positions 331 to 792 of the family's 1533-position model. The record is from RNAcentral.
CCAGACUCCUACGGGAGGCAGCAGUGAGGAAUAUUGGUCAAUGGGCGAGAGCCUGAACCAGCCAAGUCGCGUGAGGGACGACGGCCCUACGGGUUGUAAACCUCUUUUGCCGGGGGACAAACGGCGGCACGCGUGCCGUCCUGAGGGUACCCGGAGAAAAAGCAUCGGCUAACUCCGUGCCAGCAGCCGCGGUAAUACGGGGGGUGCAAGCGUUGUCCGGAAUCAUUGGGCGUAAAGAGUUCGUAGGCGGCACGUAAAGUCUGGUGUUAAAGGCAGAGGCUCAACUUCUGUACGGCACUGGAUACUUGCGAGCUAGAAUGCGGUAGAGGUAAAGGGAAUUCCUGGUGUAGCGGUGAAAUGCUUAGAUAUCAGGAGGAACAUCGGUGGCGUAAGCGCUUUACUGGGCCGUAAUUGACGCUGAGGAACGAAAGCCAGGGUAGCAAAUGGGAUUAGAUACCCCAGUA